AUGGGUUGCGUUCCUCAAUAUGCGUCAGGAGAUCUGAGACCCACAGAUGCAUCAAGAACUACAACACGAUCUGAUGGAGCACCUAUGAAGGCUCAAGGACAACACCUAGUUCGAUGUGUUUUUAGUUUGUGUUUGAAUUAUGAGUUUGCUUGGUUGAACUAUUUGAUUUGUAUCCAUUUCUGUGAUGAACUAUGUGAUAAAAAUUACCUUUUGUUGAGUAUGUGCCGAACUAUGCCGAAUUUGGGCCGAAAUCGGCGGUUGGGGGGGGGGAGGGGCGAACUUGGGGGGUUGGCUGGGAACCCGAGCCCCCCCCCCCCACCGAAUUUAUCGCCGGUUAGCCCCCAAGCGACGCUAUUUUAA
RNAcentral lists this ribosomal RNA (360 nucleotides) under Triticum aestivum (bread wheat). RNAcentral's name for it is "partial small subunit ribosomal RNA". The record is from RNAcentral. Lineage: Eukaryota; Viridiplantae; Streptophyta; Magnoliopsida; Poales; Poaceae.